This 488-nucleotide ribosomal RNA is filed under the name uncultured bacterium. RNAcentral describes it as "bacterial SSU rRNA". It matches the Rfam family "Bacterial small subunit ribosomal RNA", at positions 26 to 507 of the family's 1533-position model. The record is from RNAcentral.
AUCAGUGGCUCGAGGACGAACGCUGGCGGCGUGCUUAACACAUGCAAGUCGAACGAUGAUGGGACUGCUUCGGUGGUUUUUGAUUAGUGGCGAACGGGUGAGUAACACGUGAGUAACCUGCCCUUCACUCUGGGAUAAGCCUUGGAAACGGGGUCUAAUACUGGAUAUUACUUGAGCCCGCAUGGGUUCGGGUGGAAAGCUUUUGUGGUGGAGGAUGGGCUCGCGGCCUAUCAGCUUGUUGGUGAGGUGAUGGCUUACCAAGGCGACGACGGGUAGCCGGCCUGAGAGGGUGACCGGCCACACUGGGACUGAGACACGGCCCAGACUCCUACGGGAGGCAGCAGUGGGGAAUAUUGCACAAUGGACGGAAGUCUGAUGCAGCGACGCCGCGUGGGGGAUGAAGGCCUUCGGGUUGUAAACCUCUUUCGUCAGGGAAGAAGCCUUUUGGGGUGACGGUACCUGGAGAAGAAGCACCGGCUAACUACGUG